GAAUUGAAGAGUUUGAUCAUGGCUCAGAUUGAACGCUGGCGGCAGGCUUAACACAUGCAAGUCGAACGGUAGCACAUAGGAGUUUGCUCCUUGGGUGACGAGUGGCGGACGGGUGAGUAAUGCUUGGGAAUCUGGCUUAUGGAGGGGGAUAACUACUGGAAACGGUAGCUAAUACCGCGUAAUGUCUUAGGACUAAAGGGUGGGACCAUUUGGCCACCUGCCAUAAGAUGAGCCCAAGUGGGAUUAGGUAGUUGGUGAGGUAAAGGCUCACCAAGCCCGCGAUCUCUAGCUGGUCUGAGAGGAUGACCAGCCACACUGGAACUGAGACACGGUCCAGACUCCUACGGGAGGCAGCAGUGGGGAAUAUUGCACAAUGGGGGGAACCCUGAUGCAGCCAUGCCGCGUGAAUGAAGAAGGCCUUCGGGUUGUAAAGUUCUUUCGGUGACGAGGAAGGCGAUUGUUUUAAUAGAACAGUCGAUUGACGUUAAUCACAGAAGAAGCACCGGCUAACUCCGUGCCAGCAGCCGCGGUAAUACGGGGGGUGCGAGCGUUAAUCGGAAUAACUGGGCGUAAAGGGCACGCAGGCGGUUGUUUAAGUGAGGUGUGAAAGCCCCGGGCUUAACCUGGGAAUUGCAUUUCAGACUGGACAAC
Molecule: ribosomal RNA, 651 nt
Filed under: Mannheimia haemolytica
Lineage: Bacteria; Pseudomonadati; Pseudomonadota; Gammaproteobacteria; Pasteurellales; Pasteurellaceae
Description: bacterial SSU rRNA
Rfam family: Bacterial small subunit ribosomal RNA
Source: RNAcentral